GGAGAGGUGGCUGAGUGGUCGAAGGCGCUCGCCUGGAGAGCGAGUAGGCGGGCUCAAACCUGCCUCGCGGGUUCAAAUCCCGCCCUCUCCGCCA
RNAcentral lists this transfer RNA (94 nucleotides) under Synergistetes bacterium ADurb.Bin520. Its description in RNAcentral is "tRNA-Ser". It matches the Rfam family "tRNA". From Rfam's summary of the family: Transfer RNA (tRNA) molecules are approximately 80 nucleotides in length. Their secondary structure includes four short double-helical elements and three loops (D, anti-codon, and T loops). Lineage: Bacteria; Thermotogati; Synergistota. RNAcentral also lists the same sequence under 1 other name. The record is from RNAcentral.